Arachis ipaensis is the source of this 209-nucleotide non-coding RNA. The record is from RefSeq and is a predicted model, not a curated record. Lineage: Eukaryota; Viridiplantae; Streptophyta; Magnoliopsida; Fabales; Fabaceae.
AAAUUGUCCCGAAUGGAAAAUGGAUUAGGCCUCUAGUUGUAACCAAAACCAAGGAUAAGGACCCACAAUCAGAUAUCCUAGCAACCUCAGCAUCACCACAUGCACUGCAACCAUCUAUCCACUAAUUGUUGAUUGAGCUCACUGAGAAGGUAGACCGGCCGAAAGAUUGAGCAGAUUGAGCGACGCAACAAGCGCCAUUAUGACUACUU